CUCAUGAUAAAUUUAAGACGGUUCAACUCAAACAAAAAAAAAAAAAAUCUUAUAAUAAUUCAAACUGGAAAACUAAAAAACUAUAGAAUCAUGGUGAUAUAUAUGGUUGAAAGAGAGCGAGAUAAGAUAACUAUAGAAUCAAAAUGAUACUGCAAAACACUAGUAAAAUAUGUUGAAGUUACUUCAAUUAAAAAACUAACAUCCAAACUGAGAUGACCUAAACAAAUAUUCCUAAUAUCGUGACAACAGGAUGAAUCAAGAAUCAGAUAAAUAAUCAGGUACGAGCUGAUUGACUAGGGUUUUUUAACUUUCAUAAAGAAGACGAUCUUUGGCACCAGUUCGAUGGACUUCAUUGUGCUUGCAGAAAUAUUUAAGAUGCUCAAGUGUGCAGUAACCAAGCAUUUGACCAAGCAAUAAGAACAACCAAUUAAUCUCUUUUUUCUUUCGCGCAAUUACAGGUCUGGUGCUGCUUUCUCGUUCGCAAAGGAGACAUUUUGGACACACUGGAUUCAUCCAAAACCGUGGAGCUCUUUUAUGCCACUUACUCUUUUCUUUACUAAAGAGUUCGCAUAAGCCAUCAAGUUUCUCUUCUAGAUUCAGAUCCAAUUCGAACUCAUGCUCGCACCUCUUGCAGUAAACCUUUCCUUUGAUGGUGACCACAUUCUUCUCCAAUAGAUAUUGCUGGCUAUGGACGGUGGCGCGUUGAUUCUUCGCCCAAGGAAACGGUGCAGUGAUCGUUUUGCUCAUUCCUUUGUCCCGCGAACUGCGACAAGAACUACCCAUAGGGCGUCUACCCGUGGAUACACUUUUGAGUGCUUUAGCAGGCGCAUUUGAAGGGUUGGUGCUGUGGUCUGAGAAAGCUUGAGACACUGACGAAGGAUUAGGGUUAAGGUUAGAAGAAUAUUGUUGUAUUUCCAUGAGAGAUAGGUUUGUUUGAAAAGGGUUUACGAGAGGAAGGAAAGAUGUGGGAGUUUCCUUUGAACUCCCACAUCGGAGGGAGAGGGUGAGAUCUAGUUCAUUUUCUAAUUCCAUUGAUUGUAAAUAGAGGUCAGAUAGGAUCUGGUAAAAGAUGAAAAUGUGUAAGGAUGAUAAAGAUAUAUGCUUCUACUGUAGCUUUCUUUAAUGAAUGUUGGGGUUGUUCAAACAUUGGAAGUUCCGUGUUCGAAAUCUGUCAUAGAA
This 1179-nucleotide long non-coding RNA is filed under the name Vigna radiata. Its description in RNAcentral is "long non-coding RNA (VRAD_LNC003924)". The record is from RNAcentral. Lineage: Eukaryota; Viridiplantae; Streptophyta; Magnoliopsida; Fabales; Fabaceae.